UGUAAAAAAAAAAAAAAAAAAAAAAAAAAAAAAAAAAAAA
This 40-nucleotide non-coding RNA is filed under the name uncultured Chaetoceros. Lineage: Eukaryota; Bacillariophyta; Thalassiosirophyceae; Chaetocerotales; Chaetocerotaceae. The record is from RNAcentral.